UAAUCGGCCCUAUUCAGGGCCACCAAGAGUUUGCUUAUGAGUUGUU
Aedes aegypti (yellow fever mosquito) is the source of this 46-nucleotide non-coding RNA. The record is from Rfam. Lineage: Eukaryota; Metazoa; Arthropoda; Insecta; Diptera; Culicidae.